Molecule: ribosomal RNA, 292 nt
Filed under: uncultured bacterium
Lineage: Bacteria
Description: partial 16S ribosomal RNA
Rfam family: Bacterial small subunit ribosomal RNA
Source: RNAcentral
GUGUCAGCAGCCGCGGUAAUACGUAGGGUCCGAGCGUUGUCCGGAAUUAUUGGGCGUAAAGAGCUCGUAGGCGGUUUGUCGCGUCUGCUGUGAAAUCCCGAGGCUCAACCUCGGGCCUGCAGUGGGUACGGGCAGACUUGAGUGCGGUAGGGGAGAAUGGAAUUCCUGGUGUAGCGGUGGAAUGCGCAGAUAUCAGGAGGAACACCGAUGGCGAAGGCAGUUCUCUGGGCCGUAACUGACGCUGAGGAGCGAAAGCGUGGGGAGCGAACAGGAUUAGAAACCCUCGUAGUCC